RNA transcript from Homo sapiens (human), 1548 nucleotides. It is a transcript of the gene named zinc finger protein 227-like, with no coding region annotated. The transcript has 3 exons. NCBI's taxonomy places the organism in Eukaryota, Metazoa, Chordata, Mammalia, Primates, Hominidae. The record is from RefSeq and is a predicted model, not a curated record.
UCCCGCUGCACGGCCUGCGAGGGAUUUCCAUGGUGAGGGUGAAUCACGAGGGCUUCUUGUGGCCUGGUCUGUCUUACCUGCCUCUCCUUCAUGCAGGCUAUUUUUUUUUUAAGCAAGGAAAGAAUAACUUUAUUACAUACACAACCAAGCCAUGGCUGCUAUUCAGAAGCCGCUUUGCCUGGAGUAUCUCAAAGCAGCAGCUGGCCCUUGCGGAGUGUUCCGUGCACGAGUCCUGCAUCCAGGCACUUGCCCGUGUACUUUCCUCAAACGUACUCAUUUAAUCCUCAGGAGAGUCCCAUGAGAGCUUAGACGCAUGUCCAGCCGCCUGCUGUAAAUCCUCUCUGGCUGUAAAGGACAAUGUAAACAACGUGGGUGCCGUUUAAACAGUCCCCAGCAUGGCACAGGCAGCGCCACUGGAAAUGCCUCCAUCUUUCUAAAGAGAAACAGAUGUUUGAAGAGCGGAGCUGAGCAGAAGCCAUUCUUCAAACAGAAGAUUAAAGCAUCUGUCGGGUAUGCCGGGCCAGCGACCCUCAGUGGCCACCUCAGCUGGGCCUGCUGGUCACAGCUUCCAGGGUGUGUGGUGGAGGAGGGCGUUGGGGGGUGGGCGGAGGGGAAGGAGGGAGCUGAGUGCUGAUGCCCAGGCCUCUCGGCUACUUCUCAUUUCCAGAGUCAGAGUUACAGUGGCCCGUGGCCCAUUGAUGUCCUGCUGGCCUGUCCAGUGUGCUGCCAGCCCAUCGGGGGUCCUGUUCACAUUCCUAGGGCCUUCCCUGAACAUUGUCCUUUUUAUUCCUGACGCCAGUUGUCACUGAGGCCCUGGACAGAGAGCUCACACCUGGCCGGGUCUAGGCGUCCCUGCCCUGUGUCAGACCCUCCAGAGUCCCUUCCUCUUCCAGGUCCUCCGUCCAGAAUUCACCUUCUGAAAGACUGGGGUGCACACCACACACAACAUUCCUGGGAUUCAUGGGAAAUAAAUGUGCUCAUCUCUUAGGACUAAGAAGGAGAGAACAUCAUUCCUGCUCUGCAGCUCAGUAAGAAUUCCAAAAUGUUGAUGGAAGAAAGGGGAUCAGAAGAGAAGUUUGCAGGGGAUGCCUAGGGUUGAAGAGUCCCUUCUUUUUGCUUUCUCUUGUCCCUUCCCCAAAAAGGUCCAUAAGAGAAAUUCUUCCUGUGCAAAGCUUUAGUGAGCCUGGGGCACGGAGGAGCAAAUCUGGAAAGGGUGACCUCCAAUGAUGACCAUGCAAGGGGGAGACGUGCGGGGGAGGACGUGGAGGAAGGAGAUGGGCAGGGGAGGACGAGGAAGGGAGGAUGUGAAGGAGGAACCUAGAGGAGGGACUGGAUGAGGACGUGGAUUAGGGAUAAAGAUGAAGGACAAGGAGGGUGGGCAUGGAGGACAAAAAUGGAGCAAUGUCAUGAAAGGAGGGACAUGGUAAGGGUUUUUCUUACUGUGAGUCUCGUGGAGAGGGUCUCUUACUGUGAACAUCAAAGUGUGGGUCUCCAUCACUGUGAGCCUUGUGGACAGGGUCACCAUCAUUGUGAGACUCAUGGACAGGG